This 100-nucleotide non-coding RNA is filed under the name uncultured Ruminococcus sp. RNAcentral's name for it is "THF riboswitch". It matches the Rfam family "THF (Tetrahydrofolate) riboswitch aptamer". From Rfam's summary of the family: THF riboswitch presents a pseudoknot that joins P1-P2 and the loop of P3 and two THF binding. Lineage: Bacteria; Bacillati; Bacillota; Clostridia; Eubacteriales; Oscillospiraceae. The record is from RNAcentral.
CAGAGUAGGAUUCUGUGCGUUAAGUGCCUGCCGAACGGGGAGUUGUCGGUUGGACGAAAAAGGCUCAAAACCUUUGCGGUGCAGAAUUCGCAUCCCGCUG